CGCGCGCCGCCGAUGCAGUUCUCGGGCAAGUUCGAUGCGGGCUUCACGGAGUCUCAGAUGCUCGAGCACAUGGCGCGCCUUUCGUCCAUGAACAAGGCCUACAAGUCCUUCAUCGGGAUGGGGUACUACAACACCCAUAUCCCGGCGGUCAUCCUGCGCAACCUCAUGGAGAACCCCGCGUGGUACACCCAGUACACGCCCUACCAGGCGGAGAUCGCGCAGGGCCGUCUCGAGUCGCUGCUCAAUUACCAGACCAUGGUCGCCGACCUCACCGGCCUGCCCAUGUCCAACGCCUCUCUGCUUGACGAGGCCACCGCCGCCGCCGAGGCCAUGGCCAUGUGCAAUGGAAUCCUAAAGUCCAAGAAGAAGACCUUCCUCAUCGCGUCCAACUGCCACCCGCAGACCAUCGACAUCUGCCAGACGCGCGCCGCCGGGUUCGACCUCAACGUCGUAGUCUCGGCCGCCAAGGACUUCGACUACAGCAGCGGCGACGUAU
This 496-nucleotide long non-coding RNA is filed under the name Brachypodium distachyon (stiff brome). Its description in RNAcentral is "long non-coding RNA (BDIS_LNC002599)". The record is from RNAcentral. Lineage: Eukaryota; Viridiplantae; Streptophyta; Magnoliopsida; Poales; Poaceae.